CCUACGGGAGGCAGCAGUCGAGAAUCAUUCACAAUGGGGGAAACCCUGAUGGUGCGACGCCGCGUGGGGGAAUGAAGGUCUUCGGAUUGUAAACCCCUGUCAUGUGGGAGCAAAUUAAAAAGAUAGUACCACACGAGGAAGAGACGGCUAACUCUGUGCCAGCAGCCGCGGUAAUACAGAGGUCUCAAGCGUUGUUCGGAAUCACUGGGCGUAAAGCGUGCGUAGGCUGUUUCGUAAGUCGUGUGUGAAAGGCGCGGGCUCAACCCGCGGACGGCACAUGAUACUGGGAGACUAGAGUAAUGGAGGGGGGACCGGAAUUCUCGGUGUAGCAGUGAAAUGCGUAGAUAUCGAGAGGAACACUCGUGGCGAAGGCGGGUUCCUGGACAUUAACUGACGCUGAGGUACGAAGGCCAGGGGAGCGAAAGGGAUUAGAUACCCGAGUAGUC
RNAcentral lists this ribosomal RNA (446 nucleotides) under uncultured bacterium. RNAcentral's name for it is "partial 16S ribosomal RNA". It matches the Rfam family "Bacterial small subunit ribosomal RNA", at positions 338 to 795 of the family's 1533-position model. The record is from RNAcentral.